UUUAUCAUCCUCAGAAACUACAAUACAGAUGUUAGAUUUCUAUAUUUAUCACACCUUAAAAUUGAGAAUGUCACUGUAAUCAUACUUGUUUGAUUAAAUAUAUUUUGUGGAGUAUGUUACAUUUUAGGUCUAGUAAAGCAUGUCAAAAGAAUCAUGAUACAGGUUUGGUAUACAGUGGUUUAGGAACAGCUGUUGAACAGUUGAAGGGGCUUCUAUGAAGCUACCAAUGAUAAAAUCUUGAUGGAAUGAGAUCAUUAUUAGAUGAUAGUCUGCAGAAACCCUGGCCUGAAUAUUUUCAACAGUAUGAAAUGAAUAUUCCAAAUCAAAUUAUUUAUAUUACUGUGAUUAGAUGUUCCACCUGUCUGUUUAUUAUUUGUUAGGUGAUGUUAAUGUAUGAAAAUAUGUAGCCAUGCCUAUGUUAUUGUAUUGAUAUAAUAUGCCAGAAUGGCAGGGCAAAAACAUGAA
Molecule: unclassified non-coding RNA, 465 nt
Filed under: Hevea brasiliensis (rubber tree)
Lineage: Eukaryota; Viridiplantae; Streptophyta; Magnoliopsida; Malpighiales; Euphorbiaceae
Source: RNAcentral